UCCGAAACCGUUCCGCUCGCUUCCAAGUAUAAAAAGCCAGAGCAGUUCCAGCCCUUCACGCCGUUGCCGUGCGGGCAGAAAAGACAACGGAAUCAAGCCUGUUGCUUGCGUCGCCCGUUAGCAAGAGACAUACCGGCAGACCAUCAUCAGUAUGAAGUCCUACGUCAUCUUGGCACUCGUCAUCCUGGGGCAUCUCUGCCAAAUUCACGCAGCCACGCUGAGCAAGCCGGCAAAGAACACGGACGACGCAACAAAAGAACUCACGGAAAAAAUUUCCCGUUCCCUCAUGGAGCACCGGGAAGACAUCAUCGAGGCUUUGAAGGUGCUCGAAAAGCCUGUUAACAGUUUCGGUGAUGAAACCGAUGAACAGGGGUUUCCUAUGAUUCCGGCUGUAGUUUUGGGAAUAGCGAAGGUCAUCGGAGAAGGCGCUCUAUCAGGCGCUGUUGGAGCUGCUGUGGGUUCCUUAAUUAACGACGGCUGAAUGUAUCAUCGGCGACAUCUGUUAUUGUUUUCAAAUUCAAUAAAUUACACUUUCUCUGUUAUGAGCAAGUAUGCGUGAUUAUUU
This is a long non-coding RNA of Dermacentor silvarum, 565 nucleotides long. RefSeq lists it as uncharacterized. The record is from RefSeq and is a predicted model, not a curated record. Lineage: Eukaryota; Metazoa; Arthropoda; Arachnida; Ixodida; Ixodidae. The transcript has 3 exons.